UUCUGCUUCCUGACCAAAAGUUGGUGUUCCUUCUGUAGCCAUUUGUAGCAAGCCAUGACUCUCAUUUCUAGGGGAACUAAUCUUGCUCUGUCGCUCAAGCUGGAGUGCAGUGGUGUGAUCUCAGCUCACUGUAAGUUCUGCUGCCCAAGUUGAAGCGAUUCUUCCACCUCAGCAUCCUGAGCAGCUGGGACUACAGGUACACACCACUGCACCUGGCUAAUCUUUAUAUUUUUAGUAGAAGUGGGAUAUCACCAUGUUGGCCAGGCUGGUCUUGAACUCCUGACUUCAAGUGAUCUGCCUGUCUUGGCCUCCCAUACUGCUGGGAUUACAAGUGUGAACCACCAUGCUGGCCUGUGACAUUUUAAUCUAGUCAAUCAGUCUUGGAAAAUAAAGCCUUGCUUUCUGUGGCACCUAAACCAACUGAUAUGGUUUGGCUCUGUGUCCCCACCCAAAUCUCUUCUUGAAUUGUAAUCCCCAUAAUCCCCACGUAUUGAGGGAGGACCUAUAGGGAAGUGAUUGGAUCCUGGGGGCCAUUCCCGCACGCUGUUCUUGUGAUAGUGAAGGAGUUCUCAUGAGAGCUGAUGGUUUUAUAAGUGUUUGGAAGAUACCCCUUCACGGCACUCUCCCUCCUGCUGUCUUGUGAAGAAGGUGCCUUGUUCCCCUUCACCUUCCACCAUGAUUGUAAGUUUCCUGAGGCCUCUCCAGCCAUGUGGAAUGGUGAGUCAAUUAAACCUCUUUCUUUUAAAAAUUACCCAGUCUCAGGUAUUUCUUUAUAGCAGUGCAAAAACUGACUAAUACACCAACCUCUUUGAUAUCAGUUUCAUGUCAAGAAUAAGAAAAAUAAGGAAGAAAAUUGGGAGAUCGACAUAUUGAAAUUUAAAGAAUAGAAUUGGGUUUGAAAAAAAUGUUUUAG
RNAcentral lists this long non-coding RNA (913 nucleotides) under Homo sapiens (human). RNAcentral describes it as "HSALNT0059065". The record is from RNAcentral. Lineage: Eukaryota; Metazoa; Chordata; Mammalia; Primates; Hominidae.